Molecule: long non-coding RNA, 1608 nt
Organism: Benincasa hispida (wax gourd)
Lineage: Eukaryota; Viridiplantae; Streptophyta; Magnoliopsida; Cucurbitales; Cucurbitaceae
Source: RefSeq, a predicted model, not a curated record
AUUAUUUAUAAUUACUUAAAGGUUAUUGGAAAACGUGCCAAAGGAAACGAAAAGAGAGAAGAAACCCUCCCCUGGUCCAGCCGUUCGACGCCGUCACUUCUUUUUCUUUCCCAUUUUUGUUCGCACCAUUGUGAAGUUCGGCCACCGGCGACUCGUAGCCGCGCCUCCAUCUCAUUCGACGUCCACCGCACGUCAGGUCUCUCCCUCCCCUCAGUUUUGUGCGUUCCACCCCAGGUCCCAGCCGCACGCCUAGCCGCUUGUCCACACAGGUCAGUGCCGUUUGUCGCUCAACUUCUGCCUCCACCAGCCGCGUCUUGCCGAGUUUGCCAGCCGCAAGCCUAACCCAAGCGCCGUCUGCCAGUCCUAACGCGGACAAUUCCGGUUGUCGUCGGAUCUUGGUUGGUUCCGUCUGAUCUUUCCGUUUGGGGAAUCUAGUGGUGGUGAAGGAAGUUGCCAAACAAAGUGAAAGUUCGUUUGGGGCAGUUUGGUGCCCUUAGGUAAAGGUAAAGGUAGAGAUAGAUCGGUGCAUGACAAGAGAGAUCCGUGACCUAGUCAUUUGAACGAGUCAUUGCUUCCUUGCUUAGGUUUCAUUUUGCUAGUGUCUAGUCUAGGGGCUAGGCGUAUUAGAAACCUAUGGUUACUCCAUAAUUUCAUUUAUUUAUUUAUUUGCUAUUUAUUUUCAAGUUAGGUCAGGGGUAUCUUGAACAAUAAACCGUUUUGUUUUGUAAAUUCUCUGUUUUUCUUUUGUAAGUUCUCUUCCUUAUUCCGUUGAGUUUUAUUUAAUGUAAUAACUUUAUUUAUUUAUUUUUCCUUUAUCUCUUUCACCUAAACAUCGUUCGAGAAAUGUAUUGUCAAGCAUAUGCAUGUAUAGAGUAGCGUCCUAGAAAUAUAUUAGAAACUAGGGUCGUUACAUAAAAUAUCCUUACCUCUAAAGUUUAUUCCAAACCUCAUGUCCGCGAUAUCAGUUCUAAAGGUAUGAUUAUAAAAUUUCAAUUUUCAUCUCAUUCUUUCUACAUUUGUGGCAUUAUUGUUGAUGUUUUUUUUUUCACCGUUAGGAUUAUUUAGAGUGGCCUUUUUGAUGAUGCGCAUAACAAAGUCCUUAACAUUUAUGUACGGUGGCUGAACUGUUCCUACCCAUACACCCUAGGGAGAGUCGAUAAUAAACUUAAAAUUGUUGAAAAUUUGAGGGUUCUUCAAAAAGACAAUGAGAAACUCAUAAUCUAAAACUAUUGUCUCCAAUGGUUUCCUCGCAAGCUCCCUUCUUAGUAUGUUUUUUUUUAAAAAAAAUAAUAAUAAAUAUUGUGCAUUUUGAUUUUUAAUUCCUCUGUUUCCCAAUAUGCAGUCAGUUCAUGAAUUUUUUUUAAUCCAUCCAACCUUCAUUGUGUAGGAUGACAUUGUUCAAAUUUUUCCUUCCUCAAGACCUUCAGUUUUUGUUCCAUCAAGCGUGUUGGGGAUGAGAGGGUGAAAGUCUACGAGAGUUAUCUUAGUUACUUCUUGUGAUAUAUAGUAGGUACAUACCUUGGAUUUCAUAUUCGUCGAACGUGGCUUUAUGAGUUGUGUUUUGUUUUGAAUGUGUGUUAGGGGUAAAAAAGUUUGGAAAAUUACCUU